UUCGCAAUGCCCGAAAGGGUGACAAUGCGACGCCGCGUGUGGGAUGAAGGUCUUCGGAUUGUAAACCACUGUCAGUCGGGAGGAAUCUCUGGGAGCCGAAUAAGCUCGCAGAGUGACAGUACCGGCAGAGGAAGCCACGGCUAACUCCGUGCCAGCAGCCGCGGUAAUACGGAGGUGGCAGGCGUUACUCGGAUUGAUUGGGUGUAAAGGGUGCGUAGGUGGUGGGUUAAGUCGAAUGUGAAAUCCCUCGGCCUAACCGAGGAAUUGCGCCCGAAACUACCUUGCUUGAGGAUGGAAGGGGAGCGUGGAAUUCCUGGUGGAGCGGUGAAAUGCGUUGAUAUCAGGAGGAACACCGGCGGCGAAGGCGACGCUCUGGUCCAUUACUGACGCUGAGUGUGCGAAAGCCAGGGGAGCAAACGGGAUUAGAUACCCCGGUAGUCCUGGCCGUAAACGAUGGGCACUAAGUAGAGGGGUUUU
Molecule: ribosomal RNA, 477 nt
Filed under: uncultured Planctomycetota bacterium
Lineage: Bacteria; Pseudomonadati; Planctomycetota
Description: bacterial SSU rRNA
Rfam family: Bacterial small subunit ribosomal RNA
Source: RNAcentral